CUUUUUAUUGCAAAAGGAGCUUGAAGCUCCAUGUGGCCCGGAUCCCUUGAGCAUCGGGGUCCCAGGCACAAGUGACGGGCGCCUCGACCCCUGGGGGAAAGAGGGACCUUAGGCGCCAAGAGCGUUAUUUCUGGGGAGGAAGGGUCCCCGGUACCCUGAGGAUGUCCUCGCCGCAGAAGAGCUCUCACAGCGGCUCCCGUGGGGCCUGGGAGGCCUCUCUGAGGGGGAGCAGAGCUGAGGUCUAACAUGAGCCCUAGCCGCCCACAUGGGGCGGACGCGCGGACAGGAGGGGCGCUCCUGUGUGCGUGCCUCAUGCUGAGUCGCUUUAGUCGUGUCUGACUCUCUGCAGUCCCGUGGACCGUAGCCUGCCAGUCUCCUCUGUCCAUGGGAUUACCCAGCCUCCAGACACUUGAAAGGUAACCAAGUCAGGUAAUCCCAGUGUUGCAGAUGAGAGCCGAAACAGGAGGGUUUGAGUGAGCAGAAGACUAGGAUGAGCACUGGGUGUUCCUGCUUCUCCAGCCCCUGACUUCCUGCUGGAAUCUGU
Molecule: long non-coding RNA, 544 nt
Organism: Bos taurus (domestic cattle)
Lineage: Eukaryota; Metazoa; Chordata; Mammalia; Artiodactyla; Bovidae
Source: Ensembl